CCUCAGGUGUGGCCCUAAAAACAAAAACAAAAACAAAAAAACCCCAAAACUCUGCCUUUGAGCAAAUCAUUAGUGGUGGUCAGGCUACCAUUCCACAGAGGCCCCUGUCUGUGGGAGGGCACCAGGCUGCAGGCCAGGCAGUGGAGCCUGGACUGGGCCAGGUGGAGAGGCGAGGAGACCUCGGAGUGGUAGGCAUGGCUAGGCGGGCACAGGAAAGACCUGAGUCAGGCUUCUCAUAAUAAACUACACGUGAAUAAUUCAGAAGCCAACCGGGCCUCAUUGCAUUAAUGCCGCUGCCCUUACCGCCCCUUCUGUUCCUGCUGAGGGGAGGGGGUCAUUAACGUGCUUAAAGAGGGUAGCCUGAUAGAAGACCCCCUUCCCCGAGCCAGUGCUGCCCAGGCCAAUCCCAGGAGACCCUCUGGAUCCCGAUUCCCUCAGGCCCCACCAGUCAGAGGGGCCUACUGGGCAGUGCUGUCCCAGCUAAGCUGUUCUCAAGACUCAGGGUGAGAGAAGACAGGUGGCCAGACCAGGACCAGAAUAGGGGACGAAGGGACAAGCCCUGUGGGAAACGGAGCUGUGGUAGUGCUCAAUGGGAGAAUGCAGGCGCCAGGCCCUGAGCAAAGUGGAGAAGGCAGGCAGGCCCCUGUGCACAGAGCCCAGGCGUUGCUUUGUCCAGGCGGGAUUUUCCUUGCGAUGAGAGUGAAGCUCCAGGGAACUUUUCACCCACUGUGGAUGGCUCUGCCUCCAGCCUCUCUCAGACUUGAAUCCAGCGCCAGCCCCAGCCACUGGUUUAGGCCUAGGUCCUCACCCUAGCCCAGGGCAUAAGGGAUCCCCAGACCACUGGGCCUGAGAGGACAGAAACUCCUAAGUGCAUACCAUCCCGCAGCCUUAUUUCGAUUGAGCAGAACCAGCUUCCUUUGGCUUUUCCACUUCCCACAUGUCCCUGGGCUCCUGGUCUUGAGGGAUCACCACUCAUCCGGCGGCUGAAUUCUUCCAGCUCUUCCCCAGACCCCUUCGCUUCCUUUAAGUCCACCCCGGCUGCUCCUCCUGCUCCUACAUGGUGAACCUUGGCCCUGACCCUCGCACCCGGUCCUCUGGCUCUCCUGGGGCCGGCGCGAACAAGGAUCCCAGCCUGGUCUCCGCCGGUGUCGCUGGCAGCCAGACGAGGAGGCUCGCGGGAGGCAGCUCGCGUCCCUCCUUCCCUGCCCCGCCCUCCCUCUCUCUGAAUCUUAGUCUUCUGCCGCUGCCUCCUCUUCCUUUUCCCUCCACCUCUACGCAUUUGUUUUUCUUCGUUUGGUGCGGUCCGUCAGUGGAGGCCUGAACUUACUCUGCUCGUCCUGAAGCCUCAGCUGGGCCUCCGGGUUCGAGGCCAAAUUUCCAACGGCUUCCGCAGCAGGCGGCUCGGGUGUCUUUGCAGAGGCAGGUGAGACGGGCUGAUGGCACCUUCACCUCAUACGGCUGCAUCGCCAGCCGGCUGUGUCAUCUCGGGUAAGUCUCUUAACCUCUGAGCCUUGACAGGGCACAAGUCAAGAGAUUUAGGGAGAUGGGAGACUAAGGCUUUUGAUUCGUUUGGGGAAAGAGGUUGCCUGUUUGGGGGCCUAAGGAGGAAGAAUACUAGGUCUGAAAUGAGCAUUUACUUUAACGAAUAUUUCGAGAGCAGCUGGGAGCUGCUUUUUAUUUUUCUUUUUUUACAGCUGAUGUAAUGCCAGGCGUUAGAAAUUUCUCCGAUCCUCACCACAUCUCGGUUUUACCGAAGAGGAAACUGAGGUUAAGAUGGCGUCCUGCUGGUCAACGCCACAGGUGGGAUUCGAACCUAGAUUCCGUUCCCAGGAGCUCGUGAGUUUAAGCCACGGCCGUCUCGCCCUGCCUGGUGAAUGGAGCCCUCGCAGGGCCGGCCGCGACCUGAGCGGGGAGGGAUUGCGCUGAAUCGACGAGCGUUCCCUCUCUCUCUGUGCUGGGAAAUCUUUGAAAUUCCUGUUUUCAGGUAAACGAUUUUGGCGGCUCCCAGGGAAGGGUGGAAACGGGAGCUGGAGAGCCACUUCCGGCUCGUUAGGCGGCGGGGCGGGGAGGGCAACUCUUCCUCGAGCGCGGGGAGGUGGCGGUAGCAGAGCGAGGUGGAAGCCGCUGCUCCCCGAUUUUUCCUCUUUCGAGUUCACCCGUCGGCUCCGUCUGUUCUGUGGGAGCCACGUCUUCGGAAGUCCUGCUCCGAGAGGGAGGAGCGCGGGGCAGCCGGCGCACGGCCCGGCCCGGGGCAGAGGUAUGACCGGGCGAUCGCUCCGCUUUUUCACCGUCUCCGGGCGUCUCUCUGAGGGGACCACACCCUGCUUGGGAUCAGGACAGAUGAAGGAUGGAAGGGUGGAGCCUGUUCUCCCGUCACCCGUCUUCCCCUAAUUUUCAAAGCUGCUUGACUCCAUAGAUGUCUGGAAGCAAUUGCAGUUGGAAACACUGGCUUGGCUCCUGUUCCAAGGCUGGAGGCUCAGUUAUGAAGCAAUUGAUAUGGAAAUUCUGGGCUCCUGUGUGCCCAAGCCCGUGCCAGUCACCAAGCCAAGAACAAGACAGUAUCCAGGAUGGCAGGGAGGCUAAAUUCUCUCCAUGCCAGGGAAUAUUUCCUGACCAAAGGAUCUGUCUAGGUUAUGGGGGAGCCACCAUGUUCCCCAAGCAGUGUGCUUGCUUAAUGGUGAACCACAGAUGCUACUCCUGCUCACAAACCCACGGGCUUGAGGGAAGACAGGCCUAGGACACAGGUGGUACAGGCCAUGAUGUGGGAGCCUGGAAGAGGACAGCUGACCCAGAGCCUUUCCAGGGAACAGGGGGGAACCUGGCCACAGCCCUGAGGCAGGCAGUCCAGCUCCCAGUCCACCUAUGAGGGAUCCAAGCGCUGAAAAGAGGCAGACAUUCUCUCAGAUGGAGACAACCACUCUUCUCUUAUACUCUAGUCUCUGGAAGUGAAACCCCAGAUCUCAGCCCCUACUGAGCAGUGCAGGCUCUUCCCCAGAGCUACCCAGCUUCCAAGUAGCCAGCGGGAGGUACGUUACUAGAUGAUGUUUUGGGGAUCCCACCCCCACCCCACCCCCGCUCCCGCUCUCGGGACACAGUCCUGGCCACCUUUAAUAGUUUAUUUCAGCCUGUCCCCAUUCUAUGCCCUCCUCUCUCCCCCGCCUCAUCCCCAAAAGCUGACCUGGAGCUGGAUUCCCAA
Long non-coding RNA from Phacochoerus africanus (Common warthog), 3196 nucleotides. RefSeq lists it as uncharacterized. The transcript is spliced from 5 exons. NCBI's taxonomy places the organism in Eukaryota, Metazoa, Chordata, Mammalia, Artiodactyla, Suidae. The record is from RefSeq and is a predicted model, not a curated record.